RNAcentral lists this non-coding RNA (83 nucleotides) under Caballeronia glathei. Its description in RNAcentral is "Burkholderia glathei Burkholderia sRNA 54". It matches the Rfam family "Burkholderia sRNA 54". From Rfam's summary of the family: Identified by RNA-seq, RACE and Northern blot. The record is from Rfam by way of RNAcentral. Lineage: Bacteria; Pseudomonadati; Pseudomonadota; Betaproteobacteria; Burkholderiales; Burkholderiaceae.
CAAACUCUCAGGUUCUGGCUUUGGCCCUCGGUAUGCCAGAACUUUUGCGGUGUCACGGGGCUUUCCCCGUGGCGCCUUUUUUU